GAUGAACGCUGACAGAAUGCUUAACACAUGCAAGUCAACUUGAACUUCGGUUUGGGUGGCGGACGGGUGAGUAACGCGUAAAGAACUUGCCUCACAGUUAGGGACAACAUUUGGAAACGAAUGCUAAUACCUGAUAUUAUGAUUUUAGGGCAUCCUAGAAUUAUGAAAGCUAUAUGCGCUGUGAGAGAGCUUUGCGUCCCAUUAGCUAGUUGGAGAGGUAACGGCUCACCAAGGCGAUGAUGGGUAGCCGGCCUGAGAGGUUGAACGGCCACAAGGGGACUGAGACACGGCCCUUACUCCUACGGGAGGCAGCAGUGGGGAAUAUUGGACAAUGGGCCAAGAGUCUGAUCCAGCAAUUCUGUGUGCACGAUGAAGUUUUUCGGAAUGUAAAGUGCUUUCAGUUGGGAAGAAAAAAAUGACGAUACCAACAGAAGAAGUGACGGCUAAAUACGUG
RNAcentral lists this ribosomal RNA (454 nucleotides) under uncultured bacterium. RNAcentral describes it as "partial 16S ribosomal RNA". It matches the Rfam family "Bacterial small subunit ribosomal RNA", at positions 28 to 507 of the family's 1533-position model. The record is from RNAcentral.